UACGUAGGGUGCGAGCGUUGUCCGGAAUCAUUGGGCGUAAAGCGCGUGUAGGCGGUUCGGUAAGUCUGCUGUGAAAGUCCAGGGCUCAACCCUGGGAUGCCGGUGGAUACUGUCGGACUAGAGUACGGAAGAGGCGAGUGGAAUUCCCGGUGUAGCGGUGAAAUGCGCAGAUAUCGGGAGGAACACCAAUUGCGAAGGCAGCUCGCUGGGACGUUACUGACGCUGAGACGCGAAAGCGUGGGGAGCAAACAGG
RNAcentral lists this ribosomal RNA (253 nucleotides) under uncultured bacterium. Its description in RNAcentral is "partial 16S ribosomal RNA". It matches the Rfam family "Bacterial small subunit ribosomal RNA", at positions 524 to 776 of the family's 1533-position model. The record is from RNAcentral.